RNAcentral lists this long non-coding RNA (202 nucleotides) under Elaeis guineensis (African oil palm). RNAcentral describes it as "long non-coding RNA (EGUI_LNC063823)". The record is from RNAcentral. Lineage: Eukaryota; Viridiplantae; Streptophyta; Magnoliopsida; Arecales; Arecaceae.
UGGGUACUUCUGAUUGAUGAUCUUCUUGUGGUUCAACCAUAGGUAUUUUUAGAUUGGUUUGUAGAUUCUAAACUUCUGUAAGUUUAAUAUUCCUCCCACUGCCUCCAUCUUGGAUGAAUUCAUUUUUCAAGAUAGUGACAUGCCUCCUAACAAAUACCUUUUAUUUAGAAGGAUGGUAGAAGUAGUAUCUAUUAGUUUCCUU